Molecule: transfer RNA, 73 nt
Filed under: Enterococcus gilvus
Lineage: Bacteria; Bacillati; Bacillota; Bacilli; Lactobacillales; Enterococcaceae
Also listed under: 1 other name
Description: tRNA-Lys
Rfam family: tRNA
About the family: Transfer RNA (tRNA) molecules are approximately 80 nucleotides in length. Their secondary structure includes four short double-helical elements and three loops (D, anti-codon, and T loops).
Source: RNAcentral
UGACGUGUAGCUCAGUUGGUAGAGCGCCUGACUUUUAAUCAGGAGGUCGCUGGUUCGGAUCCGGUCACGUCAG